Molecule: transfer RNA, 73 nt
Filed under: Bos taurus (domestic cattle)
Lineage: Eukaryota; Metazoa; Chordata; Mammalia; Artiodactyla; Bovidae
Also listed under: 4 other names
Rfam family: tRNA
About the family: Transfer RNA (tRNA) molecules are approximately 80 nucleotides in length. Their secondary structure includes four short double-helical elements and three loops (D, anti-codon, and T loops).
Source: Rfam by way of RNAcentral
UCUCCAGUGGUCCAGUGGUUAGGAUUCUGGGCUUUCAAUGCAGGGAGUGCAGGUUCAAUUCCUGCUCAAAGAA